UACGUAGGGUGCAAGCGUUAAUCGGAAUUACUGGGCGUAAAGCGUGCACAGGCGGUCUUGCAAGACAGAUGUGAAAUCCCCGGGCUUAACCUGGGAACUGCAUUUGUGACUGCAAGGCUGGAGUACGGUAGAGGGGGAUGGAAUUCCGCGUGUAGCAGUGAAAUGCGUAGAUAUGCGGAGGAACACCGAUGGCGAAGGCAAUCCCCUGGACCUGUACUGACGCUCAUGCACGAAAGCGUGGGGAGCAAACAGG
This 253-nucleotide ribosomal RNA is filed under the name uncultured bacterium. RNAcentral's name for it is "partial 16S ribosomal RNA". It matches the Rfam family "Bacterial small subunit ribosomal RNA", at positions 524 to 776 of the family's 1533-position model. The record is from RNAcentral.